This 420-nucleotide ribosomal RNA is filed under the name uncultured bacterium. Its description in RNAcentral is "bacterial SSU rRNA". It matches the Rfam family "Bacterial small subunit ribosomal RNA", at positions 356 to 773 of the family's 1533-position model. The record is from RNAcentral.
AAGGAAUAUUGGACAAUGGUGGCAACACUGAUCCAGCCAUGCCGCGUGCAGGAUGACGGCCCUAUGGGUUGUAAACUGCUUUUGUACGGGAAAAAACCCUCGUUCGUGAACGAGGCUGAUGGUACCGUAAGAAUGAGGAUCGGCUAACUCCGUGCCAGCAGCCGCGGUAAUACGGAGGAUCCAAGCGUUAUCCGGAUUUAUUGGGUUUAAAGGGUGCGUAGGCGGAUUAAUAAGUCAGUGGUGAAAGCCUACAGCUUAACUGUAGAAUUGCCAUUGAUACUGUUAGUCUUGAGUAUAUUUGAAGUGGGCGGAAUGUGCAGUGUAGCGGUGAAAUGCUUAGAUAUUGCACAGAACACCGAUUGCGAAGGCAGCUCACUAAACUAUAACUGACGCUGAGGCACGAAAGUAUGGGGAUCAAAC